RNAcentral lists this ribosomal RNA (460 nucleotides) under uncultured bacterium. RNAcentral describes it as "partial 16S ribosomal RNA". It matches the Rfam family "Bacterial small subunit ribosomal RNA", at positions 338 to 795 of the family's 1533-position model. The record is from RNAcentral.
CCUACGGGAGGCAGCAGUGAGGAAUAUUGGUCAAUGGGCGCGAGCCUGAACCAGCCAAGUAGCGUGAAGGAUGACUGCCCUACGGGUUGUAAACUUCUUUUGUAAAGGAAUAAAGUGAGUCACGUGUGCCUUUUUGUAUGUAUUUUAUGAAUAAGGAUCGGCUAACUCCGUGCCAGCAGCCGCGGUAAUACGGAGGAUCCGAGCGUUAUCCGGAUUUGUUGGGGUUAAAGGGAGCGUAGAUGGGUUGUUAAGUCAGUUGUGAAAUGUUGCGGCUCAACCGUAAAAUUGCAAUUGAUACUGGCAGACUUGAGUACAGUAGAGGUAGGCGGAAUUCGUGGUGUAGCGGUGAAAUGCUUAGAUAUCACGAAGAACACCGAUUGCGAAGGCAGCUUACUAGACUGCCACUGACAUUGAUGCUCGAAAGUGUGGGUAUCAAACAGGAUUAGAUACCCGUGUAGUC